This 196-nucleotide unclassified non-coding RNA is filed under the name Paracoccidioides brasiliensis. Lineage: Eukaryota; Fungi; Ascomycota; Eurotiomycetes; Onygenales; Ajellomycetaceae. The record is from RNAcentral.
CGCGCCGUGGGGGGACGGGGCCCGAUCGGGUUCCCGGCCCUCUCACCUGGCCACCCUUGUCUAUUCUACCUGUUGCUUCGGCGGGCCUGCAGCGAUGCUGCCGGGGGGGCUCGGCCUCCCGGGCUCGUGCCCGCCGGGGACACCGUUGAACUUCUUGUUCGGAGCUUUGACGUCUGAGACCUAUCAUAAUCAGUAA